RNAcentral lists this ribosomal RNA (482 nucleotides) under uncultured bacterium. RNAcentral describes it as "partial 16S ribosomal RNA". It matches the Rfam family "Bacterial small subunit ribosomal RNA", at positions 30 to 507 of the family's 1533-position model. The record is from RNAcentral.
AUUGAACGCUGGCGGCAUGCCUUACACAUGCAAGUCGAACGGUAACGGGCCUUCGGGUGCCGACGAGUGGCGAACGGGUGGGUAAUACAUCGGAACGUGCCCGAUCGUGGGGGUUAACGAGGCGAAAGCUUUGCUAAUACCGCAUACGAUCUACGGAUGAAAGCCGGGGACCGCAAGGCCUUGCGCGGACGGAGCGGCCGAUGGCAGAUUAGGUAGUUGGUGGGAUAAAAGCUUACCAAGCCGACGAUCUGUAGCUGGUCUGAGAGGAUGAUCAGCCACACUGGGACUGAGACACGGCCCAGACUCCUACGGGAGGCAGCAGUGGGGAAUGUUGGACAAUGGGCGCAAGCCUGAUCCAGCCAUGCCGCGUGCAGGAUGAAGGCCUUCGGGUUGUAAACUGCUUUUGUACGGAACGAAAAGCCUUCUUUUAAUACAGGAGGGUCAUGACGGUACCGUAAGAAUAAGCACCGGCUAACUACGUG